CCUACGGGCGGCAGCAGUGGGGAAUAUUGGGCAAUGGGCGCAAGCCUGACCCAGCAACGCCGCGUGAAGGAAGAAGGCUUUCGGGUUGUAAACUUCUUUUAAGGGGGAAGAGGAGAAGACGGUACCCCUUGAAUAAGCCACGGCUAACUACGUGCCAGCAGCCGCGGUAAUACGUAGGUGGCAAGCGUUGUCCGGAUUUACUGGGUGUAAAGGGCGUGUAGCCGGGUUGACAAGUCAGAUGUGAAAUCCUGCGGCUUAACCGCAGAACUGCAUUUGAAACUGUUGAUCUUGAGUACUGGAGAGGCAGACGGAAUUCCUAGUGUAGCGGUGAAAUGCGUAGAUAUUAGGAGGAACACCAGUGGCGAAGGCGGCUUACUGGACGAUGACUGACGCUGAGGCUCGAAAGCGUGGGGAGCAAACAGGAUUAGAUACCCGUG
RNAcentral lists this ribosomal RNA (437 nucleotides) under uncultured bacterium. RNAcentral's name for it is "bacterial SSU rRNA". It matches the Rfam family "Bacterial small subunit ribosomal RNA", at positions 338 to 790 of the family's 1533-position model. The record is from RNAcentral.